RNAcentral lists this ribosomal RNA (253 nucleotides) under uncultured bacterium. RNAcentral's name for it is "partial 16S ribosomal RNA". It matches the Rfam family "Bacterial small subunit ribosomal RNA", at positions 524 to 776 of the family's 1533-position model. The record is from RNAcentral.
UACAGAGGGUGCGAGCGUUGUCCGGAAUUAUUGGGCGUAAAGAGCUUGUAGGCGGUUUGUCGCGUCUGCCGUGAAAAUUCGAGGCUCAACCUCGAACUUGCGGUGGGUACGGGCAGACUAGAGUGUGGUAGGGGAGACUGGAAUUCCUGGUGUAGCGGUGAAAUGCGCAGAUAUCAGGAGGAACACCGAUGGCGAAGGCAGGUCUCUGGGCCACUACUGACGCUGAGAAGCGAAAGCAUGGGGAGCGAACAGG